Molecule: ribosomal RNA, 223 nt
Filed under: uncultured bacterium
Lineage: Bacteria
Description: partial 16S ribosomal RNA
Rfam family: Bacterial small subunit ribosomal RNA
Source: RNAcentral
UAGCGCGUGGGUAACCUGCCUCAUACAGGGGGAUAACAGUUAGAAAUGACUGCUAAUACCGCAUAAGCGCACAGUGCUGCAUGGCACAGUGUGAAAAACUCCGGUGGUAUGAGAUGGACCCGCGUCUGAUUAGCUAGUUGGUGGGGUAACGGCCUACCAAGGCGACGAUCAGUAGCCGGCCUGAGAGGGUGAACGGCCACAUUGGGACUGAGACACGGCCCAA